This is a long non-coding RNA of Lagenorhynchus albirostris (white-beaked dolphin), 1275 nucleotides long. RefSeq lists it as uncharacterized. The transcript is spliced from 2 exons. Lineage: Eukaryota; Metazoa; Chordata; Mammalia; Artiodactyla; Delphinidae. The record is from RefSeq and is a predicted model, not a curated record.
AGACCAGGGAAGACCAGGGGGGCGUGGAUGUGUCUGCACACUUUCGCCCCCCGAGGAGCCAGGACACAGACCUGGCUGCGGCCUGCGCUGACCACAGAGAUGAGGACGGUGCCCCAGGGACAGUGCACCCUGAGAUGGGUGGAGCCUGAGUCCCGAACAACCCGUCUCUUCAGAUCUGAAGCUGUAAGGAGAGCUCCGUGGACUCGACCAUGUGCCCUGACCGCAGGAAAGUCACCUCCCCAUCAGAAGCUCCCAGAGGUAAAGGGGGCCCUGGGUGUCGAGGCCGGGCGUACGGGACAAGCAGCAGGUCCCCUCUAGGCAGCUGCCCUCCUGGGACCCCAAUCCUGCCUGGGCUGGGGGACCACGGUCCCGGGGAGGUGGCCCCGACAGCAGCGGCCAGACCCCUGCGGCCCUGAGUGAGGUAGAGGAACACAGAGGUCAGUGGGAGUGGGUCGUUGCGUCCCCGCCGCAGGUCCCGGGACGGGGUGAAGCGGCAGCCUCAGCGCGUCGAGAGGAACAUGUAGACAGAGCCCCCGACCGCUUCUGGGGCUGAAAGCAAGUCGCUGCAGGUACUUGCUGAAAAGAUGGAUCACAGGAGAAGGAGUGCGGUUCCUGCUCACGGGGACAGACAGAGUGAGGACAGAGGGGUCCCGGGAACCAGAGGCGAGAGAGAGGGAAGGGGCAGGGGCUGCCACGGCAGGCAGGGAGGUGACAGGCCUCAGGGUGAGGGUCCAGUGGGCCGGUCCAGGGAGGAGGGUUGAGGAUGUGCGCUGGGGUGGGCUUGUCAUUUCCGCUGAGCUGCCCCCCGAACAUUCUCUGGGCUUCAAGCCACCAAGGCCUCCCACGUGUCACACGGGGGCCGCUGAAAAGCCCAGGGGCUCCUCUGCUUCCCGCGUGACUUUGGUUUAUAGAACGGACGAUUCGGCCUCGUGCAAAACGCACAUCUGAGGCCUGUGAAGAACCUGGCACGUUUGCACAACGUACGCCGUACACGCAGACGCCUCCGAAGAACGCUGGCGACAACACACGGACUGAUGACCCAGCGGUGAACCACCUGGGUUUCUCGCGUCAGAACACGGCACCACGGCUGUCCGCGAGGCAGAUCUUGAGAGAGCUCUUUAGACAGAGCUUUCCUCCUGCCCCGCAGCCAACCUCCCUCCUGCUCCCCUCGCCUCCCUAACGCUGGGACUCCUUCAUCACCCACCCGCUUCCCCUUUUGUCGUGACGGCCGUCCAGUUUCCAUCAGACCCGCAGGGAGAACAAAAAUAAUUCAUC